Long non-coding RNA from Ananas comosus (pineapple), 2135 nucleotides. RefSeq lists it as uncharacterized. Lineage: Eukaryota; Viridiplantae; Streptophyta; Magnoliopsida; Poales; Bromeliaceae. The transcript is spliced from 2 exons. The record is from RefSeq and is a predicted model, not a curated record.
UCCUCUUCCCUACUUUCUCUCUCUCUCUUCCCUUCUCCUCUCUAUCUUAGCCCCCCUCUCUCUUUCCCUAUCAUUCAUUAGCGUAAGCGGUGGCAAUGGCUUGUGCUGGCGCCGCCACCCGGGGUCGGAAAGGGAGAGCGCAGCGGCGACAGCAGCAGCCAUAGAGGCCGCGGCGAGGGCCGUGGGGGCGUCGAGGGCGGAGAUGUCCGUCGCCGAGGGGAGGGCCGGCACGCGGGUGGAGAGAGCUAAUGAAGGCGUAGCGCGGGUUUCAUACUAGUUUGCAUAAUUUGAGGGUCAGAGAGGGCUGAGGGCAGCGGAGGAGGCGAUGAGGGCAGCGGAGGCGGUGGAGAAGGCGAUGGCAAGAGGGUCGUGAAGGCAGUGGAGAAGGCAAUGAGGGUCAGAGAGGGUAAAAAAAAUUACAAAAAAAGUAAAACAUUAGAGAAAAAAGAAGAUGAUGAUAAAGUUAUACUAUUUUAGAGAAACGUUGCACUGUUUUAAAGAAAACUUACACUAUUUGAGAUUAAAAAAAAAAUUUAAACUUUUCUGAAUAAAAGUUGUAUUCUUUGAACGAAAGUUGUACUAUUGGAAUGAAAAUUACACUAUUUUUUCUCUUCCUCCUUCUCCUCCUUUUUCUUUGUUUUCAUAUGGAUGAGGAGAAAUAAUAAAAUAUUUGCCCAAAUAGUGCAAGUUUCGUUCAAAGAGUACAAGUUUCGUUCAAAAAGUGCAAAUUUUCUUUAAAACAGUACAAUAUUUCUCUAAAACAGUGCAUCUUCAUCACCUUCUUCUUUUCUCUCUGAUUUUUUAUUUUUCUUAUAUAAAAAAAUAUUUUUUUAUAUUUUAUUCCAUUUAUUUUAUUUAUUUUUUAUAUUUUUUUUUUCUUGGCUCCACUCUCACCCGUGCUUGCUUCGAGUCCUCCUUCUCCGGCGCCGGUGUCGAUGUCUGCGCCGACGAAGGCGGUGUAAGAGGACGUGAAUAUUGUCUUCGUUACUGUCGUAGAGGGUCGCGGAAGCGAUGGAGGGAGUCGAAGAGAAAAAAAAAAAAAGAAUGACAGAAAAAAAGGAGAGGAAGAGGACGCGACGUUACCCUCUUUAUUGUCAUAAAGAACCGGGGAGGCGAUGUGUCACGCCCCGAGCCCGCCUCUUUGGUCGGAUUCGGGCACGCCAACAGACCGCCGAACGGACAGGAUUUCCCCUGCACGCGGACAGAGUCUCCCCUGUACGUUCAAGGCGUCGCAAUCAAUACAAGUACAAAAGGUUCCAAAGGGCUCGGGGCGUGACAUGAUGGAGGAGGGUCGGAGAGGGAAAAAAAAGGGUCGCGGCGCAGCAUCGGCAUCGUUGGAGGUGAGGAAGGCCGGGGGGAGUGCGUGGGCGAGAGUGAAGAGAAAAAAAAGAGAGGAAGAGGGUGCGACGUUAUCGUCGUGGAUGGUCGCGGAGACGGUGGAGGAGGUUAGAAGAAAAAAAAAAGAACGAGAGAAAAAAAAAGGAGAGGAAGAGGACACGGCAUUACCCUCUUUACUGUCUUAAAGAACUAGAGAGAUGAUGGAGGAGAGUCGGAGAAGAAAAAAAAAAAGAGGAUCGCAGCGCGGCCUCGGCAUGGUCAGAGGUGAGGAAGGCGGGGGGAGGGGGGUGCACGGGCGAGGAUGUGCCGAACAGAGGCAAGGCGGGCCGCCUUCACCUCCGCCGUCCUCUUGGGAGAGAAAGAAGAUAAAGAACGAGAGGAAAAAAAAAAAAGGGAGGGAAAAAAGGGAACAAGGAUAUUUUGGUCAGUUUAUUAAAAAUCCGGCCCGAAUCUGUAAAAUCCAAAAAAAUGGUCUGCUUUGGCAAAAGUUCAAAACUAGUGGAUUUUUUUUGCAAAUUGGCCAAAAAAAAUCAAAGAGCUAAAUGCGAAAAAAAUAAAAAACAAGAAACAAAAAACUAUGCCGUGACAUCGAUUGUGGAAAUAUCCUUCUGCACACUGGCAUGUGCACAAGGUGUGUGCUCAUACGUGCGGAAGUAGCCAGCUUGGCCCUUGGAGGUUGCCUUGAAGUCGUGAACGAACAUCCAGCGACGUCGAAGGCUUAUAUGCAGUUUUAAUCAAAAUCGAACUGAAAACGUUUUUGCCGUAGAGGAAGAAAUUUAAAAUUGAAUAGUUGUAAA